CAUCAAGCUCCCGGAGAAAGGGAGCCUUUGACUCUUGCUGCCUUGGGACCCGGUGGUACCAUCUGAGUGGUAGAGAAAGUGCCGGGCGGGGUGAAUGCGGAGCCUCUCCGGCAAGUUCUUUCCAAGGAAGAAUCGGCCUGGCCUCUCAGCAGAGCAGGGCAGUGCUCCUGGCUCCUGAGCAAAGCGGUCCCUGGUCCUGCCCUGCCAACGUGUCUCACUGGAGCCACCCCCCACCCCCGGCCCAGCAGGCUCCCGCCUUCCCGCCCUGCGGAGGGCUCUCGUGGGGCCCAGGCAGCUGAGCAGGGCAGCCACAGCUCCAAGGAGCACCCCGACCCCCAAGCUGGUGGCCCUACGCCCUUUCCUCCGCUCUGAGCUCCAGGAGCACAUAACAAACAUCCUCAGAGACACCUCAAUUUCCGGACGUGCGUCCAAAGCUGACCUUACGCGGUCCCGCCCACCUGUCUUUCCUCAGCGUCCCUGUGUCAGUGGGUGGCGUCACCACCUAUCUGUUCUCUAAGUCAGCAACUGGGGGGACGUCCUGACACCUUCCUCCUCCUCGCAUCUCCAUCCGAUGCAUCAAGUCCCGUCUCAGACGUCUCUGGAAUUUCCUCACGUCUCACCUCCUCCCUUGCCGCCCCUGGGCGCAGCGCGCAUCGCCUCAUUCUGGAAUACCAGGACAGCCUCUCACCUGGCUCUGGCACACGCGCCCUGGCCUCUCCGGCCCGCCCCUGCCCCCAGGGCCUCUGAGGGAAGGCAGCUUCGGGGAAAUGCUAACAAGCCCCACAGGGAGAGGCGCACCUGCCAGGUUCACUCUGCAGGCUCCCCGAGCGUGCGCAGCGCAGACACGGAGCCGGUGCAUUCUGGGUAAAGCAGCCAGUGGGGCAUCAGCAGGGGAGGAAGGGGCCUGUGCACUGGGGACCAGCCUCUGGGAAUGCUGCCCUGGUCCUGUAUGUGGAAGCGCCAUCUUGCCUCCGUGAAGACGAAAGACUCGAUGGAGAGGGAGGCCCAGCAGGCCAGCUCUGGCCCCCCGCUGACCCAGCUGCUGAGUGGAGCCCUGUGAGUCCAGACCACCUCCCUGCAGAGGACCCCCGCGUCCCCCUGUCCAGUCACGACCGCUCGCCUGGUUUCCACAUCCCCGCGCUUAGCCGCUGCCAAGGCAUCGCUAGGAAUGGCCCACUGGCAUCUCGGAGGCACCUCAUGUCCCAGACUGGAGAACGCCGGGAAGGACCCAGGAUUUGGACUUGGAACCCAAAGCCCUGGACUCUUUUCCUUAAGAGUCUCUUCGUACAAACCACUCAGUCCCUCCGAGCCUCAGUGCCCCCCCCCCCCCCGACCAUGGACAUGCUCAUACUUCUCCCUUGCAGUUAAAGCAGGAUCACAAACAUGGAAUUUUGAUGAGCUAUCUUGUGCUUUGAAGUUUGCUCCUUUUGCUGUGUUCCCCGAUGUUCCUCGUCUCUUCCCCCCCCUCCCCAGGAGCAGAGGACACCUGCUUGCCCUGACGUGUGAAUGCAGGAUCUCUGGGACUUCUUUCC
Molecule: long non-coding RNA, 1532 nt
Organism: Suricata suricatta (meerkat)
Lineage: Eukaryota; Metazoa; Chordata; Mammalia; Carnivora; Herpestidae
Exons: 6
Source: RefSeq, a predicted model, not a curated record